GAAAGCGCAGCUUUUAAAGGGCUGAAACCAACCGGCCGUAGCUGGAGGGGAUUCAGCUGUCCCGCAGAGGAACACAGCCCCGCUGUGCGACGUUUGCUGCAGAGGUAUCAGAGUUUAAGAGUAUUUUUCCUGGCUGUACUCCGACAGCCUGUUCCUGUGCUGGCCCCGCAGGAGCCAGGCAGGGAACUGGGGCAUCACUGGAAAAGAAGUAAAGCGCCAUGAAAUGCUGGUGAGCUGGAAAUGACACGCAGAUCAAUGAAGCAGCUCUGUGGUUUUAAAGCUGGUCAGAAAAAGCUGAACACACAGCGCAGCCAUGGGCACAAACCUUUGUGGCUCUGGGUUCAAGGCCUAUGGCAGUGGUGUGGUGGCAGCACCUUUCUGGAGAGCACGGGGCUCACAGGGCACACAUCCAUAAGGAGUAGAGUUGGACCUGAAACCUUGGGAGCACUUCGUAUCCAGUGACAUGAAUACCUGCAACAAGUCUUCUGGGAAGAACAGAUACCACCAACUGCUCCUGCUUUUCUUGAUUACCUGGAAGACCAGAGCCCUACACCUCCAUGGCUUACAGGCUCCUCAGAAGUCACUGCUAAAGGGCAUGAAAGCCUACCACAACUUCCACGUGAUGGUGGAAAAUUCUUUGUCCCGAUUUCUGAAGUACACCUGCACUCAUUUACAAUGGCAGUCAAGCUGUGUUAGAACAUUCCCCUUCUCCUUUGGUAUGCCUGCUUGGCCUUUAUCUGAAUUGUUGGUUGAGAGAAAGAGAAUACAAUGUUUUUUUCAUGUGUAGUUUUUCUUUUUUCUUUUUUUUUUCUUUUUCCCAUUUAAAGAGAACACUGCAUAUAUAAGAAGCAAACACCAGAGGACUUGCAUAUAGCAAAAAAUAAAAGAGAAAAAAUCAAUACA
RNAcentral lists this long non-coding RNA (903 nucleotides) under Anas platyrhynchos platyrhynchos (common mallard). RNAcentral describes it as "lncRNA (ENSAPLG00000028425.1)". Lineage: Eukaryota; Metazoa; Chordata; Aves; Anseriformes; Anatidae. The record is from RNAcentral.